GUUAUAUAUAGAAGAGAAUCUACAAAUGAGUGGCCGGUUUCAAAUUUGUGAAAUUAAUGGGUUUGGUUAUAUAUAGAAGAAGAGUCUACAAAUGAGUGGGGUGCUUGCCUUUUGCAUAAUGAAUGGACAAAUUUGAGGCAUAGGGUUGACCCCGAAGGUGAGAGAUCUGGGAGGGGCCUGUUGAAGAACUUAUUUAUACUGGUGAAAAAUUUGAAAGAGAGCCUCUCUUAGAGGUGAAAUGCCAUCACGAGUUUCCCAAGGAUAUCUGGGUUUGGAAGUGGUUUUAUACAGUAAAGUGAUUAACCCGGGGUAAGCUGGGUGAGUUGUUGGUUGUGUUUAUUUUUUCUUAAGAGUAAGCUUUAAAGCAGCUACCUGGAGUGAGGUCUUGAUCGACUAAAUGGGGGUAAAGGGUUGUUUUCAUAAAUGCUUCCGAAGCUAGUAAACUAAAAAGCAGGGUUUUGAUGUUACUUAUAAGUAUUUUAUAGAUUUUUGAGUUGGAGCAAAAAAGGUCUUGGAUGAACUCGGCAAAAUAGGGUUAGGACUGUUUAUUAAAAACAUAGUGUGGAGAGGUUUUUAAGUUCACAUCAAGCGCUGCCCGGUGCUGUAGUGGUAAACGGCGGCCUUAGCGUGAGGGUCUUAAGGUAGCAUAAUAAUUCGCUCUCUUAAUUGGAGGCAUGUAUGAAUGGUUUUUCAUAGCUAAGCUUUCUUCUAGAUGUUAUUUUAAGUUAGCGUGCUGGUGAAUAUACUUGCUUUUUAUAGGAAGACAAAAAGACCCUAGAAGCUCUGGUUAACACCUUGACUGGGAGAGUUCCUGAAAAAUAUCAGAAGGAUGUAAUUGUAUAAUUUUACUUUUAUAAAAGGGUGUGGGGAUCCCUAUUGUCAGGAAAUUGUGGGAAACAGAAGAAAAGUUACUCUAGGGAUAACAGGCUAAUCCAGUUAGAGAGUUCAUAUCGGCAACUGGGCUUAGUACCUCGAUGUUGGCUUUAGUAGGCUCAAUUGUGCAGGGGCAAUGGGAGCGGGUCUGUUCGACCUUUAAAUACUACCUUGAGCUGAGUUUAGAACGUAGUAAUACAGUUCGGUUCCUAUCUCCUUCUCAAUAAUCCCUUUUGUACGAAAGGACUCAGGGGGAAAAAUUAGUGUUUGGCUUAUAGUUGCUAAGCGCUAAAGAGUUUAUUGC
RNAcentral lists this ribosomal RNA (1177 nucleotides) under Hydroides norvegica. RNAcentral's name for it is "16S ribosomal RNA". The stretch from base 733 to 1096 matches the Rfam family "Bacterial large subunit ribosomal RNA", at positions 2049 to 2651 of the family's 2925-position model. The record is from RNAcentral. Lineage: Eukaryota; Metazoa; Annelida; Polychaeta; Sabellida; Serpulidae.